This 410-nucleotide ribosomal RNA is filed under the name uncultured microorganism. Its description in RNAcentral is "bacterial SSU rRNA". It matches the Rfam family "Bacterial small subunit ribosomal RNA", at positions 509 to 917 of the family's 1533-position model. The record is from RNAcentral.
CAGCAGCCGCGGUAAUACGUAGGGGGCGAGCGUUGUCCGGAAUUAUUGGGCGUAAAGCGCGCGCAGGCGGUCCUUUAAGUCUGAUGUGAAAGCCCACGGCUCAACCGUGGAGGGUCAUUGGAAACUGGGGGACUUGAGUGCAGGAGAGGAGAGCGGAAUUCCACGUGUAGCGGUGAAAUGCGUAGAGAUGUGGAGGAACACCAGUGGCGAAGGCGGCUCUCUGGCCUGUAACUGACGCUGAGGCGCGAAAGCGUGGGGAGCAAACAGGAUUAGAUACCCUGGUAGUCCACGCCGUAAACGAUGAGUGCUAAGUGUUAGAGGGGUCACACCCUUUAGUGCUGCAGCUAACGCGAUAAGCACUCCGCCUGGGGAGUACGGCCGCAAGGCUGAAACUUAAAGGAAUUGGCGGG